GGACUCUAUUGAGGCCCCGUAAUCGGAAUGAGUACACUUUAAAUCCUUUAACAAGGAUCCAUUGGAGGGCAAGUCUGGUGCCAGCAGCCGCGGUAAUUCCAGCUCCAAUAGCGUAUAUUAAAGUUGUUGCGGUUAAAAAGCUCGUAGUUGGUUCUGCGUGCCGCGCUGUCGGUUCGCCGCCUGUCGGUGUAACUGGCAUGUCGCGGCAUGUCCUGUCGGUGGUGAACGGAAUUCCCGGUGUAGCUGAGGCUUUCAAGCCGAAGUUAUUGCCUGGUGAAUGCCGUUUGCCGAUCUCUCCUACUCCGGUGCUCUUAAACGAGUGUCGAGGUAGGCCGACACGUUCACUUUGAACAAAUUAGAGUGCUUAAAGCAGGCUGAAAUAUCUGCCUGAAUAGUGGUGCAUGGAAUGAUAAAAUAGGACCUCGGUUCUAUUUUGUUGGUUUUAGGAAUGUGAGGUAAUGAUCAAUGUGGACUGGCGGGGGCAUUCGUAUUGCGACGUUAGAGGUGAAAUUCUUGGAUCGUCGCAAGACGCACUAAAGCGAAAGCAUUUGCCAAGUAUGUCUUAAUUGAUCAAGAACGAAAGUUAGAGGUUCGAAGGCGAUCAGAUACCGCCCUAGUUCUAACCAUAAACGAUGCCAGCCAGCGAUCCGCCGAUGUUCCAUUAAUGACUCGGCGGGGAGCUUCCACCCGGGAAACCAAAGCUUUUGGGUUCCGGGGGAAGUAUGGUUGCAAAGCUGAAACUUAAAGGAAUUGACGGAAGGGCACCAC
RNAcentral lists this ribosomal RNA (768 nucleotides) under Inara flavopicta. RNAcentral's name for it is "SSU rRNA". It matches the Rfam family "Eukaryotic small subunit ribosomal RNA", at positions 488 to 1170 of the family's 1831-position model. Lineage: Eukaryota; Metazoa; Arthropoda; Insecta; Hemiptera; Reduviidae. The record is from RNAcentral.